This 541-nucleotide ribosomal RNA is filed under the name Morchella sp. Mes-10. Its description in RNAcentral is "eukaryotic LSU rRNA". It matches the Rfam family "Eukaryotic large subunit ribosomal RNA", at positions 73 to 625 of the family's 3401-position model. Lineage: Eukaryota; Fungi; Ascomycota; Pezizomycetes; Pezizales; Morchellaceae. The record is from RNAcentral.
GAUUGCCUCAGUAACGGCGAGUGAAGCGGCAAAAGCUCAAAUUUUAAAGCUGGCACCUCCGGUGUCCGCGUUGUAAUUUUGUGAGGCAUCUCCGGGUAGGGCGCCGGCCUAAGUUCCUUGGAACAGGACGUCAUAGAGGGUGAGAAUCCCGUGCUUGGCUGGCUGUCCCCGUCCAUGUGAGGUGUCUUCGACGAGUCGAGUUGUUUGGGAAUGCAGCUCAAAAUGGGUGGUAAAUUUCAUCUAAAGCUAAAUAUUGGUGGGAGACCGAUAGCGCACAAGUAGAGUGAUCGAAAGAUGAAAAGCACUUUGAAAAUAGAGUUAAAAAGUACGUGAAAUUGUUGAAAGGGAAGCGCUUGAGACCAGACUUCGGUGGGGAGUGAUCAGCUGUCCUUCUGGGCGGUGCACUUGCUCCCCUCCGGGCCAGCAUCGGUUGGGACGGCGGGAUAAAGGUCCCGGGAAUGUGGCUCCUUUCGGGGAGUGUUAUAGCCCGGGAUGAAAUGCCGCCAGCUCCGACCGAGGACCGCGCCUUCGGGCUAGGAUG